CGCCCUUGAGUUUGAUCAUGGCUCAGAGUGAACGCUGGCGGUAGGCCUAACACCUGCAAGUCGAACGGCAGCACAGUAAGAGCUUGCUCUUAUGCGUGGCGAGUGGCGGACGGGUGAGGAAUACAUCGGAAUCUACUCUGUCGUGGGGGAUAACGUAGGGAAACUUACGCUAAUACCGCAUACGACCUACGGGUGAAAGCAGGGGAUCUUCGGACCUUGCGCGAUUGAAUGAGCCGAUGUCGGAUUAGCUAGUUGGCGGGGUAAAGGCCCACCAAGGCGACGAUCCGUAGCUGGUCUGAGAGGAUGAUCAGCCACACUGGAACUGAGACACGGUCCAGACUCCUACGGGAGGCAGCAGUGGGGAAUAUUGGACAAUGGGCGCAAGCCUGAUCCUUUUUUUUCGCGUGGGUGAAGAAGGCCUUCGGGUUGUAAAGCCCUUUUGUUGGGAAAGAAAUCCAGCUGGCUAAUACCCGGUUGGGAUGACGGUACCCAAAGAAUAAGCACCGGCUAACUUCGUGCCAGCAGCCGCGGUAC
Molecule: ribosomal RNA, 534 nt
Filed under: uncultured Stenotrophomonas sp.
Lineage: Bacteria; Pseudomonadati; Pseudomonadota; Gammaproteobacteria; Lysobacterales; Lysobacteraceae
Description: bacterial SSU rRNA
Rfam family: Bacterial small subunit ribosomal RNA
Source: RNAcentral